GCCUACGUGGUGUAGUGGUCAGCACGCUGGGCGCGUAUUCCAGAGGUCCGUGGUUCGAGUCCCGGCGAAGGCG
RNAcentral lists this transfer RNA (73 nucleotides) under Stegodyphus mimosarum. It matches the Rfam family "tRNA". From Rfam's summary of the family: Transfer RNA (tRNA) molecules are approximately 80 nucleotides in length. Lineage: Eukaryota; Metazoa; Arthropoda; Arachnida; Araneae; Eresidae. The record is from Rfam by way of RNAcentral.